This 468-nucleotide ribosomal RNA is filed under the name uncultured bacterium. Its description in RNAcentral is "partial 16S ribosomal RNA". It matches the Rfam family "Bacterial small subunit ribosomal RNA", at positions 28 to 507 of the family's 1533-position model. The record is from RNAcentral.
GACGAACGCUGGCGGCGUGCUUAACACAUGCAAGUCGAACGGAAAGGCCCUGCUUUUGUGGGGUGCUCGAGUGGCGAACGGGUGAGUAACACGUGAGUAACCUGCCCUUGACUUUGGGAUAACUUCAGGAAACUGGGGCUAAUACCGGAUAGGAGCUCCUGCUGCAUGGUGGGGGUUGGAAAGUUUCGGCGGUUGGGGAUGGACUCGCGGCUUAUCAGCUUGUUGGUGGGGUAGUGGCUUACCAAGGCUUUGACGGGUAGCCGGCCUGAGAGGGUGACCGGCCACAUUGGGACUGAGAUACGGCCCAGACUCCUACGGGAGGCAGCAGUGGGGGAUAUUGCACAAUGGGCGGAAGCAUGAUGCAGCAACGCCGCGUGCGGGAUGACGGCCUUCGGGUUGUAAACCGCUUUCGCCUGUGACGAAGCGUGAGUGACGGUAAUGGGUAAAGAAGCACCGGCUAACUACGUG